RNAcentral lists this long non-coding RNA (958 nucleotides) under Ictidomys tridecemlineatus (thirteen-lined ground squirrel). Its description in RNAcentral is "lncRNA (ENSSTOG00000030022.1)". The record is from RNAcentral. Lineage: Eukaryota; Metazoa; Chordata; Mammalia; Rodentia; Sciuridae.
CCUCUCCUCUUCAUUCAGCAAAGUCCUUCCCCAGUGGACCUGGCUCCCUUCCUAUCUUCCCCUUUAUGCCUCACCUCCAGGCCCGAAAGACCAAAGCAACACCAGCACCUGGCCUCAGAGGAGCAGAAGACAAUGAAGAAGGGCAGGGUGUGGGGAAGGCCAGGGAGGGAGAGGGACUUAACAUCAGGAGCAAGGUGCAUGGUGGGGACAUGGAAGAAGAAACUGGGGAGCACUGCAAGGAGGAGCCCCCCCCCCGCCGAGCACAGAGAUUAGAUAAGGGACAGCACCUUGGAGAAGAGAGAAGGAGAGGGGUCCUCAGGAGCUGCUCUUGGGGAACUGGAUGGAACAACAGUAGACAGAGCUACAGAUGAAGAAGGAGAAGGGAAGGACCAGAAAGGGGCAGAAAGCCUGGAGACAGCAGGGCAGGAAGGACGGCAACUGGAGGACGACAAGAGGAGGCAGAGUCUUCCCAGAGCAGAAUCUCCUGAGCCUUAGAGGAACAGAGGUCCCUUCCCCUCUGGGAGUAGUCCCCAUGUCACAGAUGGAGAGACUGAGGCAAUAAAUGAAGAAAGGCCGUCCUGAAGGUCGUGACUCCUAGUGUCUCCCUCACCAGGCAGCUGCACACCGGGCCAGGAUGCUCAGAGGCCUGGCUCUGCCUCUCCACCUUGGUCACGUCUUCCCUGCUCCCUCUCUUCAGGCCCUGGCCCCGUUGGGCCCCCAGGGCUUCCCAGGGCUCUUAUUCCCAGGGACCUCUCCAUUGGGUCCCUGCCUGACCUUGUGCCCACAGGUCCCCAAGAACACCAACCACACAGAAGGCCCAAAAAGCCACACAGAAGAGCAGCCCCAGGAGAAAAGGAAGGGCAAGAAACGGCACAACCACCAUCCUCAGAACUUGAGCAGCAGGGGCGACAGAGGCAGGACACACGGUCUACCAGAGCUGGCCUCCAGUGCCCUUUGA